UGUUACAAUUAAAGAAUGUGCUAGAGACUAGUAAGACCCUCAAUAAAAUUAUAUUAAGUCAUAGUGUUGAAAAACUUUGAGCUAACCCAUUCUAGAACAAUUAAUCUAAUUGGUGUCUAAAGAAAGCACUAAAGGUGGUUACUUAAUUAGGAACUUACUCUCUGAGUAAGGGGAGCCUCCCACCUGCUUACCUGGCCAAUUAUUUGAUUGCCUAUUAUGGAUAAGCUUAAUAUUGAUAUAACACUAUUGAUAGCCUUCCUUCAUGCCUCGAUAUUAUUAUGUCAAGAUCCAUGCUAGUUUGUUGUGCUAACACAAAACUUGCAAUGGGGACUGAUGUUAUACUGUCUUGGUGCAUUAAGAUGCUUAUGGCAUAUUUUAAUAUAUUGCCUUGUUGUGCAACCACAAGGACAAUAUUAUUCGAAUAUGACUAUAUGAAAAUGAAGGGUUUGACUUAACUAAAAUAUUAUUGUUUGUUGUGCUAACACAAGGCAAUAAGUAUUUUAAGAGGACAAGAUAAAGUUGAGAAUUGCAUGAGAUGCAAUUGGAAAGAGUUUCCUACCUUUGAACUCAUAAGAGUUUGUUGUAUAAACACAAGACUUUUUAUGAUGAAUUAGGAUCUCAACCCUACUAAGAAAAAUUAUAUUUUCACGUUUAUCAUAGGAGAGGGCUAUGAUAUUCGAUAAAAAUAGUAGGAGACAAAUUAGAUUAAAGUCCUUAUCUA
Molecule: long non-coding RNA, 721 nt
Filed under: Phoenix dactylifera (date palm)
Lineage: Eukaryota; Viridiplantae; Streptophyta; Magnoliopsida; Arecales; Arecaceae
Description: long non-coding RNA (PDAC_LNC018599)
Source: RNAcentral